AGAGUUUGAUCCUGGCUCAGGAUGAACGCUGGCGGCGUGCCUAAUACAUGCAAGUCGAGCGAACGGACGAGAAGCUUGCUUCUCUGAUGUUAGCGGCGGACGGGUGAGUAACACGUGGAUAACCUACCUAUAAGACUGGGAUAACUUCGGGAAACCGGAGCUAAUACCGGAUAAUAUUUUGAACCGCAUGGUUCAAAAGUGAAAGACGGUCUUGCUGUCACUUAUAGAUGGAUCUGCGCUGCAUUAGCUAGUUGGUAAGGUAACGGCUUACCAAGGCAACGAUGCAUAGCCGACCUGAGAGGGUGAUCGGCCACACUGGAACUGAGACACGGUCCAGACUCCUACGGGAGGCAGCAGUAGGGAAUCUUCCGCAAUGGGCGAAAGCCUGACGGAGCAACGCCGCGUGAGUGAUGAAGGUCUUCGGAUCGUAAAACUCUGUUAUUAGGGAAGAACAUAUGUGUAAGUAACUGUGCACAUCUUGACGGUACCUAAUCAGAAAGCCACGGCUAACUACGUGCCAGCAGCCGCGGUAAUACGUAGGUGGCAAGCGUUAUCCGGAAUUAUUGGGCGUAAAGCGCGCGUAGGCGGUUUUUUAAGUCUGAUGUGAAAGCCCACGGCUCAACCGUGGAGGGUCAUUGGAAACUGGAAAACUUGAGUGCAGAAGAGGAAAGUGGAAUUCCAUGUGUAGCGGUGAAAUGCGCAGAGAUAUGGAGGAACACCAGUGGCGAAGGCGACUUUCUGGUCUGUAACUGACGCUGAUGUGCGAAAGCGUGGGGAUCAAACAGGAUUAGAUACCCUGGUAGUCCACGCCGUAAACGAUGAGUGCUAAGUGUUAGGGGGUUUCCGCCCCUUAGUGCUGCAGCUAACGCAUUAAGCACUCCGCCUGGGGAGUACGACCGCAAGGUUGAAACUCAAAGGAAUUGACGGGGACCCGCACAAGCGGUGGAGCAUGUGGUUUAAUUCGAAGCAACGCGAAGAACCUUACCAAAUCUUGACAUCCUUUGACAACUCUAGAGAUAGAGCNNNNNNNNNNNNNNNNNNNNNNNNNNNNNNNUUCCCCUUCGGGGGACAAAGUGACAGGUGGUGCAUGGUUGUCGUCAGCUCGUGUCGUGAGAUGUUGGGUUAAGUCCCGCAACGAGCGCAACCCUUAAGCUUAGUUGCCAUCAUUAAGUUGGGCACUCUAAGUUGACUGCCGGUGACAAACCGGAGGAAGGUGGGGAUGACGUCAAAUCAUCAUGCCCCUUAUGAUUUGGGCUACACACGUGCUACAAUGGACAAUACAAAGGGCAGCGAAACCGCGAGGUCAAGCAAAUCCCAUAAAGUUGUUCUCAGUUCGGAUUGUAGUCUGCAACUCGACUACAUGAAGCUGGAAUCGCUAGUAAUCGUAGAUCAGCAUGCUACGGUGAAUACGUUCCCGGGUCUUGUACACACCGCCCGUCACACCACGAGAGUUUGUAACACCCGAAGCCGGUGGAGUAACCUUUUAGGAGCUAGCCGUCGAAGGUGGGACAAAUGAUUGGGGUGAAGUCGUAACAAGGUAGCCGUAUCGGAAGGUGCGGCUGGAUCACCU
RNAcentral lists this ribosomal RNA (1570 nucleotides) under Staphylococcus aureus. RNAcentral describes it as "bacterial SSU rRNA". It matches the Rfam family "Bacterial small subunit ribosomal RNA". The record is from RNAcentral. Lineage: Bacteria; Bacillati; Bacillota; Bacilli; Caryophanales; Staphylococcaceae.